This is a long non-coding RNA of Perognathus longimembris pacificus (Pacific pocket mouse), 244 nucleotides long. RefSeq lists it as uncharacterized. The transcript is spliced from 3 exons. The record is from RefSeq and is a predicted model, not a curated record. Lineage: Eukaryota; Metazoa; Chordata; Mammalia; Rodentia; Heteromyidae.
UUGUGUUCCCUCAGUAAUGGGGUAACAGGUGCAUACCGUUGUACCCAGCCGUUGGUUGAGAAUGUGUUUUUGUUGCGUUUUUUGGUCUAGGCUAGCCUUAAAUUGUGAUGUGGUCCCCAGAUCCCCUCCCAAGUAACUAGGAUUAUAGGGUUGAGUUACUGUGUCCAACUCUUGUGAAUGUUUUUGAGACACAGCCUGGCUUUUGGUCUAAAGUGAUUUUUCUGUUUUUACUUCCUCUUGUAGA